This 482-nucleotide ribosomal RNA is filed under the name Blastocystis sp. subtype 24. RNAcentral describes it as "SSU rRNA". It matches the Rfam family "Eukaryotic small subunit ribosomal RNA", at positions 458 to 954 of the family's 1831-position model. The record is from RNAcentral. Lineage: Eukaryota; Bigyra; Opalinata; Blastocystidae.
UUGGAGGUAGUGACAAUAAAUCACAAUGCGGGACUUUUAGUUUUGCAAUUGGAUUGAGAACAAUGUAAAAGAGUUAUCGAUAAACAAUUGGAGGGCAAGUCUGGUGCCAGCAGCCGCGGUAAUUCCAGCUCCAAUAGCGUAUAUUAACGUUGUUGCAGUUAAAAAGCUCGUAGUUGAAGUGUGGGGUGAAAAGUUGGUUGUUUCUUUGAAAUGGCUGUCUGCUCACCCCCUCUCCAAUGUGUUAUUAUGGGUAUUAAUUUACUUGUAAUAGCUAUUGGUCAUUUACUGUGAGAAAAUUAGAGUGUUCAAAGCAGGCAUUUGCUUGAAUAUAUUAGCAUGGAAUAAUAAUAAAAGGCUUUUGUGGUCGAUUUAAUUGGUUUGUUCAUAAAAGCAAGAUUAAUAGGGACAGUUGGGGGUAUUCAUAUUCAAUAGUUAGAGGUGAAAUUCUCGGAUUUAUGGAAGAUGAACAAGUGCGAAAGCAA